RNAcentral lists this ribosomal RNA (384 nucleotides) under Triticum aestivum (bread wheat). Its description in RNAcentral is "partial small subunit ribosomal RNA". The record is from RNAcentral. Lineage: Eukaryota; Viridiplantae; Streptophyta; Magnoliopsida; Poales; Poaceae.
AUGAAACUUCGUCUUGAGCUGAGCAAGAAGAGUAAAGUACCCGUAGUUGAUGCAAUAGAGAAUGUUGAAAUGGCCGUUGCGGCGUGUCAAGGUGUGUGGCUAGCGAGGCUACAUGGUGAUCUCAUGGAUCGAGAUCCGGGACAAGUGGUGCUCAACGUUGAUAGCAAGUCUGAAAGUUUUCUACGCGAAGAUCCAGUGUGGCAUGAUAGGAGCAAGCACAUUGAUACGAUGUAUCACUAUAUAAAGGACUGCGUGGAAGAAGGCAAGACAGAGGUCAACAACAUUCGCACCGAUGAUCAGAUGGCAGACAUGCUAACCAAGGCUUUGGAUCGAGAGAAGUUCUUGGAGAUACGAAAAAGAAUCGGCGUCGGAGCUGUGACGUGA